UAACACGUGGGUAACCUGCCCUGAUGAUUGGGACAACCCGAGGAAACUCGGGCUAAUACCGAAUGUGCCCUCCGGCCUCAAGGCCGCUGGGGAAAGGAAGCUUCGGCCUCCGCAUCGGGAUGGGCCCGCGGCCCAUUAGCUUGUUGGUGAGGUAACGGCUCACCAAGGCAACGAUGGGUAGCUGGUCUGAGAGGACGAUCAGCCACACUGGGACUGAGACACGGCCCAG
RNAcentral lists this ribosomal RNA (229 nucleotides) under uncultured bacterium. RNAcentral's name for it is "partial 16S ribosomal RNA". It matches the Rfam family "Bacterial small subunit ribosomal RNA", at positions 111 to 334 of the family's 1533-position model. The record is from RNAcentral.